CACACAUUGCCUGGUGCCCUGUCCAGCGCUGCAAGGUGCACUGCGUCUCCUCUGCCCAGCAAGCCACAAGCCCCUCCAGGGUGAGAGGAGAGCCUUCCCUUCCCUUGGUCCUCCCUUCGACACAGGGAGCUGGAGCUGGACAGCCCCAUAGGCACUCAGUAAGCACACACCAUGUAGAUAAGUUAACAUGUACCUUUGAAAAGGUGGAUCACGGGGAUUUUGUAAUGAUGCAGCAGCGAGGAUGCUUUGAGGAUGGAACUUGGGGUCUUUCAAGUUCUCAGUAGGGCUGCGAUCCUUCCUGGACUCUAGUUGUAUCCUGCCUGGUUCCUUCCCUCCAUCCACACGGACCCCCAACAAGUCCAUAAAACCAUCAUCUUACCUGGGCAACUCAACAGCCUCCCAGUGGGUCUUCCCAUGGCCAUUCUCACUCCUAACAUUCUCCGUGGAACAUCUAGAGUCAUCUUCUUAAACUUCAAAUCUGCUUAUGGUGCACAAGGCCAUGCUUCACUGGGGAGCUGCAAGGAGAG
This 527-nucleotide long non-coding RNA is filed under the name Homo sapiens (human). RNAcentral's name for it is "HSALNT0258318". Lineage: Eukaryota; Metazoa; Chordata; Mammalia; Primates; Hominidae. The record is from RNAcentral.